GACGAACGCUGGCGGCGUGCUUAAUACAUGCAAGUCGAACGGAAAGACGCUGCUUUUGCUGGGUUCUCGAGUGGCGAACGGGUGAGUAACACGCGUGUAUCCUGCCCCUGUCUUUGUGAUAACUUCAGGAAACUGGGGCGAUUAUCGGGGAUGAGCUCUUGCUGCGUAGGGGGGGUUGGAGAAUGUCGGCGUUUGUGGCUGUACUCGCGGCUUAUGAGCUUGUUGGGGGGGUAGUUGCGUACCAAGGUUUCGACGGGUAGGCGGCCUGAGAGGGUGACCGGCCACAUUGGGACUGAGAGAGGGCCCAGACUGCUACGGGAGGCAGCAGUGGGGAAUCUUGCACAAUGGGCGGAAGCCUGAUGCAGAAACGCCGCGUGCGGGAUGACGGCCUUCGGGUUGUAAACCGAUUUCGCCUGUGACGAAGCGUGAGUGACGGUAAUGGGUAAAGAAGCACCGGCUAACUACGUG
RNAcentral lists this ribosomal RNA (468 nucleotides) under uncultured bacterium. RNAcentral's name for it is "partial 16S ribosomal RNA". It matches the Rfam family "Bacterial small subunit ribosomal RNA", at positions 28 to 507 of the family's 1533-position model. The record is from RNAcentral.